Molecule: non-coding RNA, 97 nt
Organism: Acanthosepion pharaonis
Lineage: Eukaryota; Metazoa; Mollusca; Cephalopoda; Sepiida; Sepiidae
Source: the annotation of a GenBank genome assembly
UUAAAACACCAGUCCCUUUAUGAUCCCUGAAGUUAAGCAAUGUUGAUCCUGAUGAGUACCUACAUGGGUGACUGCUUAGGAAUACCAGGUGCUGAAA